RNAcentral lists this ribosomal RNA (771 nucleotides) under uncultured Neocallimastigales. RNAcentral's name for it is "partial large subunit ribosomal RNA". It matches the Rfam family "Eukaryotic large subunit ribosomal RNA", at positions 24 to 635 of the family's 3401-position model. The record is from RNAcentral. Lineage: Eukaryota; Fungi; Neocallimastigomycota; Neocallimastigomycetes; Neocallimastigales.
GUAGUCUCGCACAGAUGCAUAUCAAUAAGCGGAGGAAAAGAAACUAACAAGGAUUCCCUCAGUAACGGCGAGUGAAGCGGGAAGAGCUCAAAUUUGAAAUCUUGAAAGGUCACCUUUCACGAAUUGUAGUUUAAAGAAGUGUUUUCUGUUACGAUCGUAAUAUAAGUUCUUUGGAAUAGGACAUCACAGAGGGUGAGAAUCCCGUCUAUGAUUGCGAUUUGUAGCUUUGUGAUACACUUUCAAAGAGUCGGGUUGUUUGGGAAUGCAGCCCAAAACGGGAGGUAAAUUUCUUCUAAGGCUAAAUAUUGGCGAGAGACCGAUAGCGAACAAGUACCGUGAGGGAAAGAUGAAAAGAACUUUGAAAAGAGAGUUAAAUAGUACGUGAAAUUGUCAAAAGGGAAGCGUUUAACACCAGUGUUGUUUUCUGAAAAUCAACCUCUGUUAGCUUUAUGCAUGUUUGUUUAGACCUAAUCAGCUAUCUUGCAUGUUCUAUUGUUUGCAGUGGUGCACUUUUCAGUUUACAGGUCAACAUCAGGUUUUUUUACCGUAAAAAAGCUAAAGAAAGGUAGCUCAUGGCUCCGGUCGUGAGUGUUAUAGUCUUUUUCCUAUGCGGUAGGAGAGACUGAGGUCUGCAGUGUAGGCUAUUUGGCUAGAUACUCAGGUGCUAUGUGAUACCAUUUCAUAAACAACUUGUUGAUUAUGUUUUGUCUAUUGCAUACUCGCUUGUACUAUCAUACCUACGCUUAGGAUGUUGAAGAUGUAGCACAUCAU